GUAGUUGUGGCAGAGUGGUUAAGGUGAUGGACGCGUAAUCCAUUGGGGUCCCCCCGUGCAGGUUUGAACCCUGCCGACUACG
Non-coding RNA from Megalobrama amblycephala (Wuchang bream), 82 nucleotides. The record is from the annotation of a RefSeq genome assembly. Lineage: Eukaryota; Metazoa; Chordata; Actinopteri; Cypriniformes; Xenocyprididae.